UACAGAGGGUGCGAGCGUUAAUCGGAAUUACUGGGCGUAAAGGGCGCGUAGGCGGCCUGCUAAGUCGAACGUGAAAUCCCCGGGCUCAACCCGGGAACUGCGUCCGAUACUGGUUGGCUUGAAUCCGGGAGAGGGAUGCGGAAUUCCAGGUGUAGCGGUGAAAUGCGUAGAUAUCAGGAGGAACACCGGUGGCGAAGGCGCUCAUCUGGCCCAAUACUGACGCUGAGGCGCGAAAGCUAGGGGAGCAAACGGG
Molecule: ribosomal RNA, 253 nt
Filed under: uncultured prokaryote
Description: partial 16S ribosomal RNA
Rfam family: Bacterial small subunit ribosomal RNA
Source: RNAcentral